AACGAACGCUGGCGGCAUGCCUAACACAUGCAAGUCGAACGAUCCCUUCGGGGAUAGUGGCGCACGGGUGCGUAACGCGUGGGAAUCUGCCCUCAGGUACGGAAUAACUCAGGGAAACUUGAGCUAAUACCGUAUAAUGACUUCGGUCCAAAGAUUUAUCGCCUGGGGAUGAGCCCGCGUCGGAUUAGCUAGUUGGUGAGGUAAAAGCUCACCAAGGCGACGAUCCGUAGCUGGUCUGAGAGGAUGAUCAGCCACACUGGGACUGAGACACGGCCCAGACUCCUACGGGAGGCAGCAGUGGGGAAUAUUGGACAAUGGGCGCAAGCCUGAUCCAGCAAUGCCGCGUGAGUGAUGAAGGCCUUAGGGUUGUAAAGCUCUUUUACCCGGGAAGAUAAUGACUGUACCGGGAGAAUAAGCCCCGGCUAACUCCGUGCCAGCAGCCGCGGUAAUACGGAGGGGGCUAGCGUUGUUCGGAAUUACUGGGCGUAGAGCGCACGGU
RNAcentral lists this ribosomal RNA (499 nucleotides) under uncultured bacterium. RNAcentral's name for it is "bacterial SSU rRNA". It matches the Rfam family "Bacterial small subunit ribosomal RNA", at positions 28 to 573 of the family's 1533-position model. The record is from RNAcentral.